AGCGAACGUUAGCGGCGGGCCUAACACAUGCAAGUCGAGCGAGAACCCAGGCUUCGGCCUGGGGGAAAGCGGCGAACGGGUGAGUAACACGUGGGUAAUCUGCCCUCGGCAUCGGGAUAGCCCGGGGAAACCCGGAUUAAUACCGGAUGGCCCGACAGCUCUUCGGAGCGGUCGGAAAAGGUAGCUUCGGCCUCCGGCCGAGGAGGAGCCCGCGGCGGAUUAGCUUGUUGGUGAGGUAAUGGCUCACCAAGGCUCCGAUCCGUUGCUGGUCUGAGAGGACGAUCAGGCACACUGGGACUGAGACACGGCCCAGACUCCUACGGGAGGCAGCAGUGGGGAAUCUUGCGCAAUGGGCGAAAGCCUGACGCAGCGACGCCGCGUGAGGGAAGAAGGCCUUCGGGUUGUAAACCUCUUUCAGGAGGGACGAAGCCACUCGGGUUAAUAGCCCAGAGGGUGACGGUACCUCCAGAAGGAGCCCCGGCUAACUACGUGCCAGCAGCCGCGGUAA
RNAcentral lists this ribosomal RNA (508 nucleotides) under uncultured bacterium. Its description in RNAcentral is "partial 16S ribosomal RNA". It matches the Rfam family "Bacterial small subunit ribosomal RNA", at positions 30 to 523 of the family's 1533-position model. The record is from RNAcentral.